UUUUAACACACACAGGAUCUGAAGAACAAAAUGCUUCAUUAUGCAGCUUUGACAGACUUCAGAACGAUCCUCCUGGACACAGCAUCACUUCAAGAGGGUUUUAAGCCAUACAAUACAGGGAUGGAAUGAAGAUAAACAAAAGGCAACAACAGAAUUGCUGAGUUCCACCCAUGAAGCAAAUCAUAGGAGAGCUAAUGUGAUUUCCGAAAAGAUGCUUGUUAAUCAUUCCGGGACUGCUGUCUCUUUCACAAGAAAAACAUUGAAAAAUUUAAUAUAGAUUUAUAGAGGCAUUCCAGAUGUCUGUUUGAGUGAAAAAUUUAUACUGAUUACAUUUUUUAAAAAAGUGAAUUUGUAUGUCUAAAUAUUUCUUUCAUCCUGUGUGUAUUUCAAUCCACAUAAUCUGUUCAGAUCAUUUGUCUUAAUGUAUGCAGAGAGAAAAAGCCUUAAAAUAUCUCUCACUGAAAGGUUUUAAGACUGAAUGGAAGAUUAGUCUUUGCCACAUUAUUCUGAAGAGCUAGGCAACAUUUGCUUAGCUUGCUGGCAACAAAGAUAAAGCCUGGCAAAACCUUAUAUCUAAGCCCUUUAUGAGCUUAUGCCUUACAUGGUGUGAAUAUAUAUAUACACACCAGGGCUCACUUCCUACAUAUCACACUGGAGGGUGAGCCAGAACAAUCAUAAUGCUGGUACCUCAAAAUGAUGUUUUUUU
Pogona vitticeps (central bearded dragon) is the source of this 706-nucleotide non-coding RNA. Lineage: Eukaryota; Metazoa; Chordata; Lepidosauria; Squamata; Agamidae. The record is from RefSeq and is a predicted model, not a curated record.